GUAGGUGGCAAGCGUUGUCCGGAAUUAUUGGGCGUAAAGCGCGCGCAGGUGGUUCUUUAAGUCUGAUGUGAAAGCCCCCGGCUCAACCGGGGAGGGUCAUUGGAAACUGGGGAACUUGAGUGCAGGAGAGGAAAGUGGAAUUCCACGUGUAGCGGUGAAAUGCGUAGAUAUGUGGAGGAACACCAGUGGCGAAGGCGACUUUCUGGCCUGUAACUGACACUGAGGCGCGAAAGCGUGGGGAGCAAACAGGGAUUAGAUACCCUGGUAGUCCACGCCGUAAACGAUGAGUGCUAAGUGUUGGGGGGGUUUCCCGCCCCUCAGUGCUGCAGCUAACGCAUUUAGCACUCCGCCUGGGGAGUACGGUCGCAAGACUG
RNAcentral lists this ribosomal RNA (374 nucleotides) under uncultured organism. RNAcentral's name for it is "partial 16S ribosomal RNA". It matches the Rfam family "Bacterial small subunit ribosomal RNA", at positions 527 to 896 of the family's 1533-position model. The record is from RNAcentral.